UCAUUGUUGGUGUUGUUUCUUCAAAUCUUUGGGUAGGGCUGUGAUGUCUACCUCUUGAUUGCUGAUGAAAUCAGCGGUUUGGAUCUUUUUGAUACUAGAGUUGGAUUGAUACAGUUUUUAUGUUAGGUCUUUGUUGUUGCAUACAUCGUAUGCGGUUAUUCUAACACCUAAUUGGUGUGUUGUGGGUUAGUCGGUGGUUUGUGGUAUGGUUCGUUGUAUUGUCGGAGUUCUCGGAGCUCUGAUUAUAGCUCGGUUGGGUGUGGGAAUUGGUUGGAGAAA
This 279-nucleotide long non-coding RNA is filed under the name Ananas comosus (pineapple). RNAcentral describes it as "long non-coding RNA (ACOM_LNC038946)". Lineage: Eukaryota; Viridiplantae; Streptophyta; Magnoliopsida; Poales; Bromeliaceae. The record is from RNAcentral.